Molecule: ribosomal RNA, 250 nt
Filed under: uncultured bacterium
Lineage: Bacteria
Description: partial 16S ribosomal RNA
Rfam family: Bacterial small subunit ribosomal RNA
Source: RNAcentral
UACGUAGGGGGCAAGCGUUGUCCGGAAUUAUUGGGCGUAAAGCGCGCGCAGGCGGCUAUUUAAGUCUGGUGUAUAACCUCGGGGCUUAACCCCGGGUCGCACUGGAAACUGGACAGCUUGAGUGCAGAAGAGGAGAGUGGAAUUCCACGUGUAGCGGUGAAAUGCGUAGAGAUGUGGAGGAACACCAGUGGCGAAGGCGACUCUCUGGGCUGUAACUGACGCUGAGGCGCGAAAGCGUGGGGAGCAAACA